AUUGAACGCUGGCGGCAUGCCUUACACAUGCAAGUCGAACGGCAGCAUGGGUGCUUGCACCUGAUGGCGAGUGGCGAACGGGUGAGUAAUGCAUCGGAACGUACCCGGAAGUGGGGGAUAACGUAGCGAAAGUUACGCUAAUACCGCAUAUUCUGUGAGCAGGAAAGCGGGGGAUCGCAAGACCUCGCGCUUCCGGAGCGGCCGAUGUCGGAUUAGCUAGUUGGCGGGGUAAAGGCCCACCAAGGCAACGAUCCGUAGCGGGUCUGAGAGGAUGAUCCGCCACACUGGAACUGAGACACGGUCCAGACUCCUACGGGAGGCAGCAGUGGGGAAUUUUGGACAAUGGGCGCAAGCCUGAUCCAGCCAUGCCGCGUGAGUGAAGAAGGCCUCGG
RNAcentral lists this ribosomal RNA (392 nucleotides) under uncultured bacterium. RNAcentral's name for it is "bacterial SSU rRNA". It matches the Rfam family "Bacterial small subunit ribosomal RNA", at positions 29 to 420 of the family's 1533-position model. The record is from RNAcentral.